RNAcentral lists this ribosomal RNA (2234 nucleotides) under human gut metagenome. RNAcentral's name for it is "bacterial LSU rRNA". It matches the Rfam family "Bacterial large subunit ribosomal RNA", at positions 14 to 2240 of the family's 2925-position model. The record is from RNAcentral.
AGGGCGUACGGCGGAUGCCUUGGCGAUAUCAGCCGAAGAAGGACGCGGUAAGCUGCGAUAAGCUACGGAGAGGUGCAAGCAACCUUUGACCCGUAGAUUUCCGAAUGGGGGAACCCGGCAGUGGUUAUGCACUGUCACCCAUACCUUUGAGUAUGAGGAGGGCACCUGGGGAACUGAAACAUCUAAUUACCCAGAGGAAGAGUAAUCAAACGAGAUUUUCUUAGUAGCGGCGAGCGAACGGGAAAGAGGCCAAACCGGAGCGGGCAACCGCACCGGGGUUGAGGACAGUCAUCAAGUGUAAAUGAGGUAGAAGAAUCGAGUUGGAAAGCUCAGCCGCAGAAGGUGAAAGCCCUGUAAUCGAAACCUUGCAUACAUGGGACUGUAUCCAGAGUACCACGAGACACGUGAAACCUUGUGGGAAGCAGGGGGGACCACCCUCCAAGCCAAAAUACUGAUAUCGACCGAUAGCGCAUAGUACCGUGAGGGAAAGGUGAAAAGAACCCCUGGCGGGGAGUGAAAGAGAACCUGAAACCGUAUGUCUACAAACAGUCGAAGUCUGUAUAUAUAUCAGGACGACGGCGUGCCUAUUGAAGAAUGAACCGACGAGUUACUGUUGCUAGCGAGGUUAAGUGGAAAACAUGGAGCCGCAGCGAAAGCGAGUCUGAACAGGGCGUUCAGUUAGUAAUAGUAGACCCGAAACCGUAGUGAUCUAUCCAUGGCCAGGUUGAAGCACAGGUAAAAUUGUGUGGAGGACCGAACUCGUGAGCGUUGAAAAGCUUUGGGAUGAGUUGUGGAUAGGGGUGAAAUGCCAAUCGAACACGGAGAUAGCUGGUUCUCCCCGAAAUAGCUUUAGGGCUAGCCUCGAGGUUGAGAGUAUAGGCGGUAGAGCACUGAUCGGGCUAGGGGCCAUACCGGUUACCGAACCUAGUCAAACUACGAAUGGCUAUACUUAUACUCGGGAGUCAGACAGUGAAUGAUAAGGUCCAUUGUCAAGAGGGAAACAGCCCAGAACACCGACUAAGGUCCCCAAUGUCAUACUAAGUGGCGAAGGAUGUGGAAUUUCCAAAACAACCAGGAUGUUGGCUUAGAAGCAGCCACCAUUUAAAGAGUGCGUAAUAGCUCACUGGUCGAGAGACGCUGCGCCGAAAAUGUCCGGGGCUAAAGUAUGAAACCGAAGUCGUGUCAUAUGCAGUAAUGUAUAUGGGUAGGGGAGCGUUCUCAUCGGAUUGAAGCAGUACCGUAAGGAGUUGUGGACUGGUGAGAAGUGAGAAUGUCGGUAUGAGUAGCGAAAAGAAUGGUGAGAAUCCAUUCCACCGAAAGCCUAAGGGUUCCUGAGCAACGAUCGUCGUCUCAGGGUAAGUCGGGACCUAAGCCGAGGCGGAAAAGCGUAGGCGAUGGACAACAGGUUGAAAUUCCUGUACCGGUGUGAAUCGUUUGAUCGAAGGAGUGACACAGUAAGGUAGGUCAGCACGCGAUUGGAAGUGCGUGUUUAAGCAUGUAGGUUGAGUUAUAGGCAAAUCCGUAGCUCUAAAAGCUGAGAUGUGAUGACGAGCUGUUUACAGCGAAGUGAUUGAUCCUACACUGUCGAGAAAAGCUUCUAGGUAGAGACACAUCGCCCGUACCAAAACCGACACAGGUAGGCGGGGAGAGAAUCCUAAGGUGCGCGGGAAAACCCUCGUUAAGGAACUCGGCAAAAUGCCUCCGUAACUUCGGGAAAAGGAGGACUCAUGUAGUGUGAAGGGCAGUAACGCGUGGAGCAUGAAUGAGUGGCACAAGAGAGGCGCAAGCGACUGUUUACCACAAACACAGGUGCCUGCUAAAGCGAAAGCUGAUGUAUAGGUGCUGACACCUGCCCGGUGCUGGAAGGUUAAGAGGAGGGGUUAGACUUCGGUCGAAGCUCUGAAUUGAAGCCCCAGUAAACGGCGGCCGUAACUAUAACGGUCCUAAGGUAGCGAAAUUCCUUGUCGGGUAAGUUCCGACCCGCACGAAAGGUGUAACGACUUGCGCACUGUCUCAACGAGGGACCCGGUGAAAUUGAAGUACCUGUGAAGAUGCAGGUUACCCGCGACUGGACAGAAAGACCCCAUGGAGCUUUACUGCAACCUAAGAUUGAACUUAGUUAAUGAAUGUACAGGAUAGGUGGGAGACUUAGAAUCUAGGGCGCCAGUCUUAGAGGAGUCGUUGUUGGGAUACCACCCUUUGAUUAAUUGAUUUCUAACAGGCCGAUUAACAAC